GGCGGAUGUAGCCAAGUGGCUCAAGGCAGUGGAUUGUGA
Molecule: transfer RNA, 39 nt
Filed under: Euphorbia alluaudii
Lineage: Eukaryota; Viridiplantae; Streptophyta; Magnoliopsida; Malpighiales; Euphorbiaceae
Description: partial tRNA-His
Source: RNAcentral